GCGAACGCUGGCGGCAGGCUUAACACAUGCAAGUCGAGCGGGCCCUUCGGGGUCAGCGGCAGACGGGUGAGUAACACGUGGGAACGUACCCUUUGGUUCGGAAUAACGCUGGGAAACUAGCGCUAAUACCGGAUACGCCCUUUUGGGGAAAGGCUUGCUGCCGAAGGAUCGGCCCGCGUCUGAUUAGCUAGUUGGUGGGGUAAUGGCCUACCAAGGCGACGAUCAGUAGCUGGUCUGAGAGGAUGAUCAGCCACACUGGGACUGAGACACGGCCCAGACUCCUACGGGAAGCAGCAGUGGGGAAUAUUGGACAAUGGGCGCAAGCCUGAUCCAGCCAUGCCGCGUGAGUGAUGAAGGCCUUAGGGUUGUAAAGCUCUUUUGUCCGGGACGAUAAUGACGGUACCGGAAGAAUAAGCCCCGGCUAACUUCGUG
This 432-nucleotide ribosomal RNA is filed under the name uncultured bacterium. RNAcentral's name for it is "partial 16S ribosomal RNA". It matches the Rfam family "Bacterial small subunit ribosomal RNA", at positions 29 to 507 of the family's 1533-position model. The record is from RNAcentral.